This 459-nucleotide long non-coding RNA is filed under the name Sorghum bicolor (sorghum). RNAcentral describes it as "long non-coding RNA (SBIC_LNC017171)". The record is from RNAcentral. Lineage: Eukaryota; Viridiplantae; Streptophyta; Magnoliopsida; Poales; Poaceae.
ACAUGGAGGAAGUAGUAGUUAGCUCAGCUGAGAAAGAGAAGGCCAGUAAAGAUUCUAAAGAUGUGAAAAUAAAAGAGAAGUCAGGGAAGGACUCCAAAGGCAUGGAAAUGAAAGAGAAGGCAAGGAAGGACUCCAAAGGCGUGGAAAAGAAAGAGAAGGGCUCCAAAGACAUGGAAACAAAAGAGAAGGCAGGGAAGGACUCCAAAGACGUGGAAACGAAAGAGAAGGCAGGGAAGGAUUCCAAAGACGUGGAAAUGAAAGAGAAGGUAGGGAAGGAGUCCAAAGAUGUAAAAAUGAAAGAGAAGGCAGGGAAAGAAUCCAAAGAUACAGAAGUGCAAGAGAAGCCAGUAAAGGACUCGAAAGAUGUAAAAAUGAAAGAGAAGGCAGGGGAAGAGUCCAAAUACAUGGAAGUGAAAGAGAAGGCAGGGAAGGACUCAAAAGAUGUGGAAACGAAAGGGA